AAUUUUAAAGCAUUGUGUGUCCGUAUAUUAAAUUUUUGUUUAGCUAAUAAUAUGUAUAUUAUAUUUUCAAGAUGUAUGAUAAAUAAUUUGUUCAAAUUUUAUUAGUAAUUUGCAGUGGUCAAAUAUUUACUACUACUUUUCUUUUUAGGUGGCUAUGGACAGAAUCAGGGUUGGGCUAAUCAAGCUUAUGGUUAUAAUCAAGGAUAUGGAAAUUAUAAUCAAGGGGGAUAUGGUGGCUAUGGUGAUCAACAACAGAAUAACAGUGGAAAGCCAAGACAUGUAUCUUCUGUUGGACAAGUUUCCCAUCCCUGUAUAUGCUGACUGUAGUCAAUCUGCUGAUCUCAAAAAAACAAAAACAAAAAAAAAAAACUUUUAUAUGAAUCUUUCCAUCACUGUGUGAUCCUUGUCAUUGAUUCAUUGUUUAUAUAGGCUUAAUGUAAAUAAUGGGAACUAUGUUGUUUUGCAAUAAAUUUUCUUUUUAUUUGUUCAGUGUCUUAAGUUGUAAUUUAACCAAACAUUGAAUCAUGUAGGGCUUCUAAUAUUGUUUUUCUUUGUUUAAUUCUCUUCUGAAAAAGAGAGAAAAAUUGUAUAUGUUUAUCUCUUAUUUUUAUCUUAUGCUUUAUUCAUUUACUUGUUGCUUUCUGUACUCUUCAUAAUCAGAAUCAUUGUUGGCAAUUCAUCUCUAAACACUGGACGUGUAUUUGGUCUGGAAAACUUAGUAAUUGAAAAUUUUAUAAAUUUUUUUGUAUUCUCAGUAAAAUUUGCCUUUUCGACUGUUUAUGUAGUAAUAAUAAUUUUAGUUCUCUUUGUUUCGUAAACUAUUUUAUCAUAAAUAUA
Molecule: long non-coding RNA, 837 nt
Filed under: Androctonus crassicauda
Lineage: Eukaryota; Metazoa; Arthropoda; Arachnida; Scorpiones; Buthidae
Source: RNAcentral